GCUCUAACAUAGCGUGCUAAUGACGGUACCAGCAGAAGAAGCACCGGCUAACUACGUGCCAGCAGCCGCGGUAAUACGUAGGGUGCGAGCGUUAAUCGGAAUUACUGGGCGUAAAGCGUGCGCAGGCGGAUUGUUAAGCAAGAUGUGAAAUCCCCGGGCUUAACCUGGGAAUGGCAUUUUGAACUGGCAGUCUAGAGUGUGUCAGAGGGGGGUAGAAUUCCACGUGUAGCAGUGAAAUGCGUAGAGAUGUGGAGGAAUACCGAUGGCGAAGGCAGCCCCCUGGGAUAACACUGACGCUCAUGUACGAAAGCGUGGGUAGCAAACAGGAUUAGAUACCCUGGUAGUCCACGCUGUAAACUAUGAUUACUCGAUGUUUGCGAUACACUGUAAGCGUCUAAGCGAAAGCGAUAAGUAAUCCACCUGGGGAGUACGCUCGCAAGAGUGAAACUUAAAGGAAUUGACGG
This 464-nucleotide ribosomal RNA is filed under the name uncultured bacterium. RNAcentral describes it as "bacterial SSU rRNA". It matches the Rfam family "Bacterial small subunit ribosomal RNA", at positions 454 to 916 of the family's 1533-position model. The record is from RNAcentral.